This 407-nucleotide ribosomal RNA is filed under the name Scylla paramamosain (green mud crab). RNAcentral's name for it is "partial 16S large subunit ribosomal RNA". It matches the Rfam family "Bacterial large subunit ribosomal RNA", at positions 1915 to 2597 of the family's 2925-position model. Lineage: Eukaryota; Metazoa; Arthropoda; Malacostraca; Decapoda; Portunidae. The record is from RNAcentral.
AAAUGUUAAAUAGCCGCGGUAUUUUGACCGUGCAAAGGUAGCAUAAUCAUUAGUUUUUUAAUUGAAAACUUGUAUGAAUGGUUGGACAAAGAAAAAGCUGUCUCUUUUAUUUGAAUUGAAAUUAACUUCUAAGUGAAAAGGCUUAGAUUUUUUAGAGGGACGAUAAGACCCUAUAAAGCAUUUGGUUGGGGCGACAAUGGUAUAAAUAAUAACUGCUAUUAAAAUUAAACAAUUAUAUUUGUAUUGAUCCUUAUUAUGGAUUAAAAGAUCAAGUUACUUUAGGGAUAACAGCGUAAUUUCUUUUGAGAGUUCUUAUCAAAGAAGAAGUUUGCGACCUCGAUGUUGAAUUAAAAUGUCUUUAUAGUGCAGAAGCUAUAAAAGAAGGUCUGUUCGACCUUUAAUUUUUU